AAUAUUUGACAAUGGGGGCAACCCUGAUCCAGCCAUGCCGCGUGUGUGAAGAAGGUCUUCGGAUUGUAAAGCACUGUAAGUUGGGAGGAAGGGCUUUAGGUUAAUACCCUGAAGUUUUGACGUUACCAACAGAAUAAGCACCGGCUAACCUUGUGCCAGCAGCCCCGGUAAUACAGAGGGUGCAAGCGUUAAUCGGAAUUACUGGGCUUAAAACGCGCGUAGGUGGUUCAGUAAGAUGGGUGUGAAAUCCCCGGGCUUAACCUGGGAACUGCUUUCAUAACUGCUGAGCUAGAGUACGGUAGAGGGUAGUGGAAUUUCCUGUGUAGCGGUGAAAUGCGUAGAUAUCGGAAGGAACACCAGUGGCGAAGGCGACUACCUGGACUGAUACUGACACUGAGGUGCGAAAGCGUGGGGAGCAAAC
Molecule: ribosomal RNA, 421 nt
Filed under: uncultured bacterium
Lineage: Bacteria
Description: partial 16S ribosomal RNA
Rfam family: Bacterial small subunit ribosomal RNA
Source: RNAcentral